Long non-coding RNA from Papaver somniferum (opium poppy), 374 nucleotides. RefSeq lists it as uncharacterized. The transcript is spliced from 3 exons. The record is from RefSeq and is a predicted model, not a curated record. Lineage: Eukaryota; Viridiplantae; Streptophyta; Magnoliopsida; Ranunculales; Papaveraceae.
CCAGUUUUCACUUCACUCCUCUUCAGCGGCUGAAGUUCGGGCUCUUCUCUCCUUCCCUCGUUCUGUCAAUUGCUUGAUUUGUUUCAAUUCUCAACUCAUAUCACCAAUAACGAAAGAUCUAUUUGGUGACCUUGCUACUUCUUCCAUCAGUUUAGAUGAUUGAUUCCUAUUGGGUUAGAUAAUGCUUCCAGCGCAUUCUGGGGUGAAAUGUCUAUAUUUUUCGAUGGAGGAAGCUGGUCGCUUGAUAUGAAUCACAUCACAUGAUCUUUCCUUUCUUCUGCUACUAGAUUUAGUAUAGAAGAGUAUCCAAUAGACUAGUAAUUCACCUUUUUAGCUUUUAGAAGUGGAACUCAUUUUUAUUUUGUAAACACUUU